UCCGUAGGCGGGCAAUUAAGUCAGAGGUGAAAUCCCACAGCUCAGCUGUGGAACUGCCUUUGAUACUGGUUGUCUUGAGUUACAGUGAAGUAGAUAGAAUAUGUAGUGUAGCGGUGAAAUGCAUAGAUAUUACAUAGAAUACCGAUUGCGAAGGCAGUCUACUAACUGUAUACUGACGCUAAUGGACGAAAGCGUGGGGAGCGAACAGGAUUAGAUACCCUGGUAGUCC
This 229-nucleotide ribosomal RNA is filed under the name uncultured bacterium. RNAcentral's name for it is "partial 16S ribosomal RNA". It matches the Rfam family "Bacterial small subunit ribosomal RNA", at positions 568 to 796 of the family's 1533-position model. The record is from RNAcentral.